Long non-coding RNA from Sardina pilchardus (European sardine), 1182 nucleotides. RefSeq lists it as uncharacterized. NCBI's taxonomy places the organism in Eukaryota, Metazoa, Chordata, Actinopteri, Clupeiformes, Clupeidae. The record is from RefSeq and is a predicted model, not a curated record. The transcript has 4 exons.
AUCACGCUAAACCAAGCUUGCUGGCUAGUUAGCUAUCAGAAGUAGACCGGGGCAGUUUGACGUUGGACUAAACUUUGUGGAGAUUGUGUGACCUACUGUUCGUACAUCAAUCGAACCAUGUACGACGAAUCUGAGCUAAGCAAGAAACACGAGAAUAUAUUAGGGAAAAGGGCGGAGUUGCUGGAACAAAUGGAGAUUCAAUAUCAACAUCAGAAAGUCAAGAAGAAACAACAAACCAUGAUGUCCAAGGCUGCGCAGGAAAGAAAUACUCAACUGUUGGGGGACCUUAAAACUUUGGAAGAUAAACUGAGAACGAAGCAACCAUUACAUCCAGAUGUACUCACCCUUGAGACUUGUUACUGGGCAUCUGUGGAAGAGAAUCUUCCAGAAUGGGAACCCUUUCUCCUGGGCAGAGGUCCAGCUCCUAGUCAGCGCAGGGCCCGGUCACCUGGUCGGCGAAGGCAGGAGAAGGCAGGUGUACCUCGAGACACACAAGACCGAGGGCUUCCCCCUCGUCCUAGAAAACCCCAUGCUGUAUGACAAAUAAUUCAGAUAGCCCAUGUGUUUAUUUUAUUCAAUCUUGUAUAAAAAUAAGACCUAUGGCAUAUGGAUGCAUAUGUUUUUAAAAUGGCACAGACAUUUUAAUGAGGAUGCCAAAGAAGAAUUGUUAUAUCUAUAAAGAUUUUUUAUACUAAAUAGAUUUUUGUAUUUUAUCAAGGAAGAUAUUUGAUUGUAUUUAUUAAUAUAUUUCCAUCUGGCUUAAACAAAUGGCUUUCACUGCAGCACAGUCUCACAUUUGCCACUAGAGGGAGCAAAGAUCUCAUUAAAAAACAGAUAGAGAAACCUGCACCACAUAUUACACUAAAGAAGCUGAAUUUUGUCAAAUUAGAUCACAGAGGUGUGUGUGCGUGUGUGUGUGUGUGUGUGUGUGUGUGUGUGUGUGUGUAUAUAUGUAUACUGUCCAGUAGAUCCAGUCUGUGACUUUCAAUUUUAGACUUUUUGGGUUUCCAAUUAAGCUGUUUAAACACUUGAGGCCAAGCUGUUUUAACAUGUUCUAGUGUUCUUAUCUGGUACUCUGUAGUUUGAACUCUUUAAAAUGGGUAAGGAGCUGCUGUUAUAUCUUAUUCUUGUUGACGUGCAUGGAGAAAAUAAUGUGAAUAAAAAUAGUAUUGCAAUAAAUGA